RNAcentral lists this ribosomal RNA (492 nucleotides) under uncultured bacterium. RNAcentral's name for it is "partial 16S ribosomal RNA". It matches the Rfam family "Bacterial small subunit ribosomal RNA", at positions 29 to 507 of the family's 1533-position model. The record is from RNAcentral.
AGUGAACGCUGGCGGUAGGCCUAACACAUGCAAGUCGAACGGCAGCACAGUAAGAGCUUGUUCUUACGGGUGGCGAGUGGCGGACGGGUGAGGAAUACAUCGGAAUCUACUUUUUCGUGGGGGAUAACGUAGGGAAACUUACGCUAAUACCGCAUACGACCUACGGGUGAAAGCAGGGGAUCUUCGGACCUUGCGCGAUUGAAUGAGCCGCUGUCGGAUUAGCUAGUUGGCGGGGUAAAGGCCCACCAAGGCGACGAUCCGUGGCUGGUCUGAGAGGAGGAUCAGCCACACUGGAAGUGGGACACGGUCCAGACUCCUACGGGAGGCAGCAGUGGGGAAUAUUGGACAAUGGGCGCAAGCCUGAUCCAGCCAUACCGCGUGGGUGAAGAAGGCCUUCGGGUUGUAAAGCCCUUUUGUUGGGAAAGAAAAGCAGCAGGUUAAUACCCCGCUGUUCUGACGGUACCCAAAGAAUAAGCACCGGCUAACUUCGUG